CAAUUUAAAUAAGCUUUGUUUUACCAUUGUCAUAAACCCAUCAUAAGCCAUUUUUCUGCUCGUUUAAUGGAAAGAGGUAUGUGAAAUUUAUACAGAUUCACUUGUGUUGGACAGGGAUUCUUGUGUAAAUUUUUCUCAAAGCCUAGCAGAAACCAAAAAAAAAAAAGAAAAAA
This is a long non-coding RNA of Phyllostomus discolor (pale spear-nosed bat), 173 nucleotides long. RefSeq lists it as uncharacterized. Lineage: Eukaryota; Metazoa; Chordata; Mammalia; Chiroptera; Phyllostomidae. The record is from RefSeq and is a predicted model, not a curated record. The transcript has 2 exons.